RNAcentral lists this long non-coding RNA (423 nucleotides) under Gallus gallus (chicken). The record is from RNAcentral. Lineage: Eukaryota; Metazoa; Chordata; Aves; Galliformes; Phasianidae.
UUUCUUAUCAUCGUUCACUUUAAAUUCCAGCAGCUCCUGCCUCUCCUUUUUCAGGAAAUCCAAGCAGCCCUGGAUUUUCUCCUUGUACUCCUCGGACGCCUCAUCCACGGGGACCACGGCGUGAGGUCGGUGCUUGCGGGAGCGGUCGCACACCACGCAGAUGCUCCUCCUGUCGUCCUUGCAGUAGAGCUUGAGGGCUUCGCGGUGCUUCACGCAGAGCCCGUCCUCCUCCGCCCCCUUGGCCCCACGCAGGGCGAACUGGCUGAUGAUUUCGGACAUGUUGGCCAACUGGCGGUUGGGUCGGAGGCUCUUCUGCUGGAAGACCUCCCUGCACUGCGGGCAGGGGAAGUCCAUCUCCAAGUCCUUCCAGCUCUUGACGAUGCACGCCCGGCAGAAGUUGUGCCCGCACUCGAUGGACACGGG